Dromiciops gliroides (monito del monte) is the source of this 5019-nucleotide long non-coding RNA. RefSeq lists it as uncharacterized. The record is from RefSeq and is a predicted model, not a curated record. The transcript has 4 exons. NCBI's taxonomy places the organism in Eukaryota, Metazoa, Chordata, Mammalia, Microbiotheria, Microbiotheriidae.
CUAUAAAGCUGUAACAGUUGAGCUCAAACCUUCUGAGUGGGAAAUAUGGUUAGCCUCUGUAGUGUCCAUGUGGAAGUCCUGACCUCGCUUGCAGACUUGACCUCUGGAGAUGAAAAGCUCUUCAUCAGAGAAAUGAGCUAGGUUCAUCUUCCUUGGACAUUCUAGCAUCCUUAACUUUCGGUCCAGCAAGCACAAGAGCUGAAUCAGCGAAUAGAGUGAACGAACACUCAGGAUGAGAUGGCUGCUGCUGAUGGGUCUGUCUCUCUAGGUCAUUACCUCUCCUCCAACUGCAAAUGCUGCAUGAUACUAAGCUUACAGAAUUCAGAAGCACAAGUCAUGAAAGAAUUCUGCUGAGAAGACAAGAUGAAACCUUUCCAAUUACAAAAAUAUACCCUGCACAACUUCAUCAGGUCAAUGAAUCACACAAAUUUGGCCAAACCAGGAUGAAGAGCAACAGAUAUGUUUGGAAAUGACUAUGACCAGCAAGAACAAUGAAGUGUAGUAAGCCUUAAUUCCAAAUCUGCAGGUAAAUGACACUAUAAAGUUCAGUCCUUGUUGAAAAAGUAAUAUGUGCAAGUAAGUACACCAUUUUUGUAAAUAAUGAGCAAGUUCAAUGUUAGUCUAAUGAUAAAGGAAUAGGGAAAAUUAAAUAUUUCAGGUUUAUCUGACAACUGUCUAGACCUACUCAGAGCACAUACUUCUUUAUGUACCCAUAUGAACAUACAAUGCUAUGGAAUGUAAAGAAGUAUGUAUUUUUGGUAGGUGAUAAACCACCAAGGGGGAAAGACCUAGACUGCGACGGGAACAAGCAGCAUUUCUUUUGGAAUGACCUUCAUGUAGCAAAUUAACCUGGCAAGAAUGAGGACAUUUUUUAGUAUUGCCACAACAAAAUGUGAAACAACAUAUUCAAUUCCAAAGACACUGACGGUAUUUAUGUGAAGAAAGAAAGAUUUCUGUUGAAAAAACGGUAAAGAAAAGUAUGAGUAUUUUGGUUCCUUUCUCUUUUUAAAUCCUUUUUAAAACAAGAAAGAUUCAGAGUGAUUCAGGUGACUAAAAUUUGAGAGCCCAAAAAGAGAAAGUCAUCUUAGCACAGAGAGAACGAAAACACAGUUUACUUUCACAUCUGGUAUUUGCCAAUGUUUUGAUUCAACUAUUACAUUUUAAUUUAGGUAUGUCACAAUAAAAUUUUUUGAUUUAUCAAAUUCUGGCAUACCAAAAAAGGGUUUACUCACUCAAAAAUGUUAGCAAAAUACUCAAAAUAAAUAGCUGUUGAAAUCUGACCUACAAAUAGUUGGAGAAAUUUUUCAUGAAAAGGCUUUUUUUGGGUAGUCUUGACAAUCAGUCACAGCUAUAGUUUCAAUUCUAAAAGAUUAGUGAUUAACAGUGAGCCCUUUCUCCCCAUCUCUGCCCCCCCAAAGAAAAAGCACCUUUACCCUUUUAAGUCUGUUAGAUCAUUAAUCAAAUCCACACUUGAAAUGUUUUGUUGACUGUUUAGAUUGAAUAAACUGAAAUGGCAGAUUUUAGCAUAGAAAAUGAUAAUCCAAUAAUUUCUAGGAUACAGCUGCUAAUCAUAAAAUUACUACUGGGGCAGCUAGGUGGCACAGUGGAUAGAGCACCAGCCCUGGAGCCAGGAGUACCUAAAUUCAAAUCCAGCCUCAGACACUUAACACUUACUAGCUGUGUGACCCUGGGCAAGUCACUUAACCCCAAUUGCCUCACUAAAAAAAAAAAUAAAUAAAUAAAUAAUAAUAAUAUUACUACUACCAAUAGAAUCUUGAAUUUAAAAAGAGGAAUGAGGGUUUUGGGGGGUCAUUUUACUAUAUAUCUUUGAGCUUUGUUUUAUCCCAAUCACUAUAUUUAAGCCAAACUGGAUUAACUAACAUAGAUACCAAACUAUUCCCUAUUUGUAAGGUACAGUGUUAUAAUUAAAUUUAUUAUAAAUGCUAAAGACCCACUAUUUGUAGCACUAAAACCAUCAGUUGUUAUGAAUAAGAUCUAUGGGGGAGGGGGGAGAUAAUGGGAGAAAAAUAUCCUAAAUGCCUAUCAAAAUGAAUAAAAUAAACCCUAUUAAGGCCAUAAAAUUAAUAAGUGACAAAUGCACAGAAAACUUAGAGGUAUCUUCAUUUUGUUUCAGUUCAGUUUGUUUGCUAGACAGCCCUUAAAUGAGACAGCCACACUCAAGUGAUACUACUUUACCUUGGAUAGCUAGGAAGAUCUUACCUGAAGUGUGGGAUUUUGUUUGGGUUAUGUUGGCUUUUUAAUAUUGAGUGUUCUUUUUUGUGUCAGAAGUCAUAUAGAAAUGCCUAAAAGUUGGCCAAAGUUAAUUUUCUUUCUACCCAUUAAUUUAAUUGGUCAAGCAAGCAAUAGAAAAAUCAUAAAUUACAACUGUAACCUACAGAGAACAUGAAACUGACUUUGUAAUGUUUGAGAGACUAAAAAUCUUUUCAGUUUGAUUGAGGAAAAUCAUAUGUACGAAUGAAAUAUAUUUCACAUAUUUCAAAAAUAUUUCCAGGAAUGGUUUUUCCUAAAAAUAAUUCCCUCAAAAAUAAGCUAAUGUUCAUCUCUUGAUAAUAGUUUUUAAAGAAUUUUAUGUUACUUGAUAAGUAUUAACUUUUAGAAAUUCUCAACAGUAGUUGGUGGUUUCUCCUGUGUUCUCCAAUACUCUACUUUGUUAUGAUUAUCCCCUUAAAUUUUGUAAUGAAUACUUUACAGAUAAAUUACUCUAUACAUUCUAAAAUUUAUUUUUUUAAAUUACUGAAAACAUAUCAAUGACCUAUUAUCUCUUAUAAUUUCAUAUUAAGAUCAUGAUACUUUGAAACAAAAUGAUAGCUGGCCAAUUACAAAAGGUAGAAGUAUAUAUUGAUACUAUUGCAUACUAGCUCAACUUAACAUACCUAAGAGUAUAUUCAGUCAUUCUAAAAUGUCACAUCUAUCACUUAGAUCAGCUGUUCAUUUUUAACUGAGUACACACUAAACUCUGGGCAUCUGCUGACACUGUUGUAACUCAAACAUUUCAACUGUCUCCCUGACAGGGAUAACAGAUGCUGACAUUAUCAAAUGCUGUACUAUGUGUUUCUUUUUUUCCAUGGCCUCUUUUUGCCCCGAUAUGGCCAGUAUAUGAAACUGAACUGACAUCCAAAAGCACACUUGAGCAGCUGGAUCUGCUAAGUAGUUCCCAUAUAACUGAUAAAAAUAGAAGCCCAUUUUAAGGUUAUCAUCAGUGCUUAAGUCCAGGCAACCUGACACCUGCUAUGUUUCUAUUAGAAUACAUGGUGUAAAGAAUAUAUUUACAUAAAUAUCUUCAGCAACAUUAUACUUAUCUACCGACAGAUGCAGAGUAUACUUGACAAAAGUAGUCUGAACUAAUACUGACCCCCUCUCUUUGUUCCUUAACUGCCUCUGGCCAGACAAAAGAGGAACAAUAAAAAAUUCUGCUGAAGCUCUCUAUGACUCCUCUAACUUAUGCUCCUUUUAGGCUGUUUUUUAAAUCGGGCCUUUAACUUCACACAGUAAUACUUCAGAAGACAAACUCUGAUACUCUGCCCCUUGUCAAGCCAAAUCCAAAUGUAAACUAUGUUAGAUUUUCUAAAUUGUCAUCACUAUGCUAACAUGAAAUAGCAAAAUUCUACUUGUUCAAAUGAAUAUAGCUUUAUAUUUUCUCAAGACAUUAUUUCUUUAAUACUGAGAUUUCUUCAGUCAGGGUUCUCUUUGAAUUAAAACGAAUCACAAUCCCUGUAUGCCAGGGGUCAACCUAGUGAUAAGCCUCUCCAAAAUUAGUUAGGCUGGUUGUCAGAUUACAGAGUCCAAAACUAGACCUGUUUUCCAAUGCCUCACCAGCAUGGCAGGAUCUACCAGGGUAUAUAUUCCACAGGCCCAGCCUUGAAAAAAUCCAGGGUCACCUCUACAAUAAAAUGAAGUAACAGAGAUUUUGGUGAAGGUAAAAAAUUACCCUUGACCAAAACUUCAUUUUGCUUGUAAGAUGGGAUGAGGUGACUUGUUUUCAAAAUUAGUCUAUCUGUACCAAUAUGACUAACUGAGGAAAUCAAAUUAUUAUUCUAAGCAAAGUCUAACUAGCUAUCUGUGUAAGGUUAGCAACAUUACGUAAGUGAUAUGAGGUGAAAAAAUACACUGGCAUAUAUGGUGGUUCCUUUCACCCACAUAGGCUCAAACAAUACUUUUAAUAUACGUAUGAUCUAUUUAUAAACCAAAGGGCAGAAGUACUUCAAGGCCAUUCUCAUUCUUCUCCACCCCCUUUCAGCAACUUGCUAUUGGUCCAUAACAGUUUAAGACUAAAAAAAGCAAUAGUGAUAGAAAAGGUGUGACCUGUUGAAAUCAAGAACAGUACUUAUCCCCACUUCAAAUAUACAGACAUCAGUUUUCACUGAUUAAGCAAUCUGGUUUACUGCCCAAAGAUUUAAAUUAAGAAUGAUAUGUUAUUCUAGUUGCAGCCACUUUUAAAAUGAGUUACUUUCUGUGUUUAUAAAUUAUAUGAAGUUGUUCAAAAGAUAACAGCAACAGUAUAACAAUCCACCCACUUCUGUUCUUCCACUGAAGUAAAAGGAUUCUUUCAAACAGUAGUCAUCUUUAAAAUAGAAGACUUUCAACUCAACUCAACAAAGUACAGAUCUAUCUUGUUAAUUUCUAAAUUUUACAGAGGGGUACAAGUUCAUAAAGAUUAUUAACACAAGAAACUAAACUAUUUCAAAUCAAACAACUCUAAAGCAUGACAAUGCUUUGCUAAAGCUGGUAAAAUGGAACCAAAUCACCUAUUCAAUGGAUUUGGUCCCCUUCAACCAGCUGUAGCUAUGCAUUGAUUACUACAAGAAAGCAAAAACUUUCAAUAAAGAAUAUAAUUAACAUAUGUCAACUAAUUUUCAACUUGUUUGGUUUUCAGAACAUGGUUAAAUAUAGUACAGAUAAUGAUUUACAGUAACAUUUGAAUUUUAUAUUUUAUCAAACUGUAUUUUAAGGUAUAAUACUUCUGUUACUAAUGCUUGUAAAGAAUGAUUUUUAGGAUAA